CAAUAGCGUAUAUUUAAGUUGUUGCAGUUAAAAAGCUCGUAGUUGGAUUUCGGGUGGGUACCGCCGGUCUCCCAUUGGGUAUGUACUGGCGUGGCCCGCCUUGCUGUCGGGGACGGUCUCCUGGGCUUAAUUGCUCGGGAAUCGGAGUCGACGAUGUUACUUUGAGUAAAUUAGAGUGUUCAAAGCAAGCCUACGCUCUGAAUAUGAUAGCAUGGGAUAACACGACAGGACUCUGGCCUAUCGUGUUGGUCUGUAGGACCGGAGUAAUGAUUAAGAGGGACAGUCGGGGGCAUUCGUAUUCCAUUGUCAGAGGUGAAAUUCUUGGAUUUAUGGAAGACGAACAUCUGCGAANGNAUUUGCNAAGGAUGUUUNCAUUG
Molecule: ribosomal RNA, 377 nt
Filed under: uncultured eukaryote
Lineage: Eukaryota
Description: partial 18S ribosomal RNA
Rfam family: Eukaryotic small subunit ribosomal RNA
Source: RNAcentral